Molecule: long non-coding RNA, 1238 nt
Filed under: Triticum aestivum (bread wheat)
Lineage: Eukaryota; Viridiplantae; Streptophyta; Magnoliopsida; Poales; Poaceae
Description: long non-coding RNA (TAES_LNC021081)
Source: RNAcentral
CGGUGGGUACAAUAUAUAACAUUGGUGUGAUAAAGGUAAGAUGAGAAAAGGAUCUAAAACUGAAGUAAGGUACUGAGCCAUCACAAUCUGAUUUGCACUUACAUCAGAAGUUCACAAUGACGAUUGACACACAAAGGUCUUAAUCUCCAUUACAAACUAACUUUGAAAAAAAAACAAGUUUGCAAACUUGCAAUGCUAAGAAAAUCAACCAAGCAACAUGGAUUGAAUAACAGCAAUGCACUCCCAUGCUUCAAUGCUAACCGCCAAGUAAUGAGCCACUUGCUGCUCAUUUUGGUCUUCGAUAGUGAUUUCAGAUUCCCAUUCCUCCUACAAAAAAUAAUAAAAAGUAUAAGAAUGUACUCAAUAGCAUCAUUUGUACAAGAUAAAUUGUAAAUGGAGGCAAUGUAAUGUUACCAUGGCUUCUUCAUCUUCAAGAAUAGAUUGAAUCGCAAAAUGAUCGGAAGUGACAUUAUCUAAAGCAAAGUUAUUCUAAAAUUAGUAAGAAGAUAAUGAAAGAAAAAAUAAUGCAUAACUACUCCUAAUAGAAAUAAAUGGAUUUAAAACUAAUUGACUUUCCUAGCAUCACCUUUUGUCAACCUCUUUUUUUGUUGUUUUGAAUCUAUGGAUUUCUUAGCAUCACCCGUUUCCAAAUGAGACCUUAAAUGUGAUGUCCCAUGAGAUUGUUCCCCACUAAUUUUCUUGUGUUAGAACACACAUUCAGCUUUCAAUUUCCUAUCAACAAUUACCUCCUCAAAAUCAUUCCUAACCACAGAUCUACGUUUUGUCUUGGAACCAGAUUGUGUACCACUAUUCACUACCUCACUUUUAGUACCAUUACCUUAUUGUAUUGCUGACAUAUUCGUAGCUGACCUCUCUUCUGCCGGUGAGAGUGACAAGCCAGUGUUAGGAGACGCCAUUCCAACAACCUUAAAAAAUAGUCAAAAAAUUAUGAGGACAGUUUAUGCUUACUGUAUGCCAUAUGAUACAGAAAGACAAAUGUUCAAAGAACUGAAACUAAUUAAAAGACAUAUGUUCAGAGAACUCAAACUGCAAAUUUAUGCAUACAUAUAUUCUGUUCCAUGACUAGAAAAACACUCACCUAUUCCCUCAAACUGACGUUGCUUUGCUUCUCCUCUCCAAGUCCAUCAGUCAUCUUCGUGGUCUUUGCCCUCUGCCAACCAUGAUCGCUAGAGGAGCAGCAAAGAGCACAACAGCGACCAGGAAGGGUAGCCAGCGAG